RNAcentral lists this ribosomal RNA (481 nucleotides) under uncultured bacterium. RNAcentral describes it as "partial 16S ribosomal RNA". It matches the Rfam family "Bacterial small subunit ribosomal RNA", at positions 30 to 507 of the family's 1533-position model. The record is from RNAcentral.
UUGAACGCUGGCGGCAGGCCUAACCCAUGCAAGUCGAGCGGAUGAAGGGAGCUUGCUCCUGGAUUCAGCGGCGGACGGGUGAGUAAUGCCUAGGAAUCUGCCUGGUAGUGGGGGAUAACGUCCGGAAACGGGCGCUAAUACCGCAUACGUCCUGAGGGAGAAAGUGGGGGAUCUUCGGACCUCACGCUAUCAGAUGAGCCUAGGUCGGAUUAGCUAGUUGGUGGGGUAAAGGCCUACCAAGGCGACGAUCCGUAACUGGUCUGAGAGGAUGAUCAGUCACUGGAACUGAGACACGGUCCAGACUCCUACGGGAGGCAGCAGUGGGGAAUAUUGGACAAUGGGCGAAAGCCUGAUCCAGCCAUGCCGCGUGUGUGAAGAAGGUCUUCGGAUUGUAAAGCACUUUAAGUUGGGAGGAAGGGCAGUAAGUUAAUACCUUGCUGUUUUGACGUUACCAACAGAAUAAGCACCGGCUAACUUCGUG